UACGUAGGGGGCUAGCGUUGUCCGGAAUCAUUGGGCGUAAAGAGCGUGUAGGCGGCCCGGUAAGUCCGCUGUGAAAGUCGGGGGCUCAACCCUCGAAUGCCGGUGGAUACUGUCGGGCUAGAGUGCGGAAGAGGCGAGUGGAAUUCCUGGUGUAGCGGUGAAAUGCGCAGAUAUCGGGAGGAACACCAGCGGCGAAGGCGGCACUCUGGGCUGGAACUGACGCUGAGGAGCGAAAGCGUGGGUAGCAAACAGG
This 253-nucleotide ribosomal RNA is filed under the name uncultured bacterium. RNAcentral's name for it is "partial 16S ribosomal RNA". It matches the Rfam family "Bacterial small subunit ribosomal RNA", at positions 524 to 776 of the family's 1533-position model. The record is from RNAcentral.